Osmia lignaria (orchard mason bee) is the source of this 413-nucleotide long non-coding RNA. RefSeq lists it as uncharacterized. The record is from RefSeq and is a predicted model, not a curated record. NCBI's taxonomy places the organism in Eukaryota, Metazoa, Arthropoda, Insecta, Hymenoptera, Megachilidae.
CAAAAGAUUAAAUUUCUUUGAGUAAAAAACACUUUCUUUAUAAGUAACAAAACUUUCUGAUUCACUUGAAGUUGCCUGUUACUUGAAGUCAGAAUCAAAACAUUGGUUAUGCAAUGGCGGCUAUAUCUGAAUUAUUUUACUUUUUAGAAUUACCUAGAUAAUAUAGGUUACCCGUGAAACCUCGGCCUCUGCCCUUCAUUUUCAACGUGAUUAUGUACUACUUACUUAAUUCUGAAAUAUUAUUUAUAUAUGGAGAUACAUAUAAAAUCCAAGCAAUGGCAGAGGCCGUACGAAACGAUACAAUGUUUUUCCGUUUUUGGAAAGAUAAGAGAAAAGUAUUAAGAAUAUUAACUUGAUAUACUUUAAUCACUUUCUUGGAUUUUCUAAAGAUAAAGAGGUAUGUACAUAUAUUG